UACGUAGGGGGCUAGCGUUGUCCGGAAUCAUUGGGCGUAAAGCGCGUGUAGGCGGCCCGGUAAGUCCGCUGUGAAAGUCGGGGGCUCAACCCUCGGAUGCCGGUGGAUACUGUCGGGCUAGAGUGCGGAAGAGGCGAGUGGAAUUCCUGGUGUAGCGGUGAAAUGCGCAGAUAUCAGGAGGAACACCAAUUGCGAAGGCAGCUCGCUGGGACGUAACUGACGCUGAGACGCGAAAGCGUGGGUAGCAAACAGG
RNAcentral lists this ribosomal RNA (253 nucleotides) under uncultured bacterium. RNAcentral's name for it is "partial 16S ribosomal RNA". It matches the Rfam family "Bacterial small subunit ribosomal RNA", at positions 524 to 776 of the family's 1533-position model. The record is from RNAcentral.